AAGUCGUAACAAGGUUUCCGUAGGUGAACCUGCGGAAGGAUCAUUAACAAAUCUGUGCUGUUGCGUGCAUGCACGUGACACGUUUGUUCCGUGUGCGUCUGCACAUUGACACAUUUCUGCGAGUCGUCUGAUUGUCUGCUUUAAUUAUGAUCAACUUUUAACAAUGGAUCUCUAGGCUCUU
Molecule: unclassified non-coding RNA, 181 nt
Filed under: Rozellomycota sp.
Lineage: Eukaryota; Fungi; Rozellomycota
Description: Cryptomycota sp. partial contains small subunit ribosomal RNA, internal transcribed spacer 1, and 5.8S ribosomal RNA
Rfam family: Eukaryotic small subunit ribosomal RNA (bases 1-46)
Source: RNAcentral